Molecule: long non-coding RNA, 4389 nt
Filed under: Homo sapiens (human)
Lineage: Eukaryota; Metazoa; Chordata; Mammalia; Primates; Hominidae
Description: non-protein coding lnc-FOXO1-2:22
Source: RNAcentral
GGAAACCUUGAAUAAACUGCUUUGCAGCAGCCACCACGGCCCCUGGCUCUUUUUCUAAUUCCUUAUACUUGCCUUUAGGCUUGCUUGUUCCUUUAGGUCUUUACUGCAUCAUUCCAGAGAGACCUUCUGUGCCAUACGCUACAGUUCCACCCCCUCUUAUGCCGCUUAGCACUCACCAUUGCCCAACAUAGGAGCUGUUUUAUGUCUUCCUCUUGAUUCUCACUGUUUCCUGCUUUGGAGCAUAAGCUGGACAGAGAAUACCAUCGGAGCUCCUCUGGAACAUGUCCUUGUCUUCUCAGAGUGUGAAGUGUGUGUGUGACAGUGCUUUUCUGAGGACUCAGGUGACCUGGAGGCUGGAGAACAGCAUGGAGCAAGGAAAACAAAGACGAUGUGCUGGAGUGUAUGUUGCUUUCAUAAUUAUGUGAAAGAAAAUGUAGAGAAAUUUGAAAGGAGAACUGGUUAUCAGUAGUGCCAUCCUGCUCAAAUAUCUUCAAAUACACACCACCAUCCAUGUGUGGGUUGAUUAAGGAGCUGACGUUCAUUAGAUCUGCAGUCUCCUGACCUGAUGUGCAUCAGAAUCACUGGGAGAACAAACAAACAAAAAUGAAUCCAAAACAAGCAACGAACAGACAGAUUCUCAAGUCUUGCCAAGUCCAAAGAUUGAUUUGGUGGAGAAAUUGUACUUUGAAAGCUGCCCAGAGAAAAGAUGGCUAUCCCGCCCAAUGUUUGGCCCCCUCCUGCAAAGGCCAAAACAUUCGUUGGGUUUUUCCUUUACUGUCUAAAUAAAGAAGAAUUUGUGCACAGUCUGAGUGGGUCAGGAUUUCAUCCCAUGGCCAUGUGGGAGCUCCAAGAUUUGAUCUCCGGGCUGACCUGUGCAAGCAUCCUGCCUCAUUCCAUUUGGCUGAAGCUCCUGCUCCACUUCUUGCUGGGCUGUGACCAUUCAGGAUCCCCCACUGUCCACCAGAGUCAGCACCUAAAAUGAGUGGGUCCUACAACCAGUGCUUGAGAGCACGGCCUCGGGACCAGAGCACCUGCCUUUCCAUCCAGUCCCUGCUUCUCAUGAGGAAGGUGUCCUUGGGGUGACACUACGAAAAGAGAUCAUCUGUAAAGGAGGUAAUAGGGUGGCCUGUGAUAUCUAUGUUCCUGUUACCAUGAAGAGAUAAUAUGAAGUUUUGGGAGAGAAAAUCUUUUUCUGUCUGGUGUUUUUCAAAAUUUUGAUGAUGGACUCACAUCAAGGAUGAAGAGCUUUGAUGUCAUUUGAACACCACCACCAUCACCACCACCAGCAUCAACAAACAAACAAGCAAACAAGCGUGAACUCAGGAGCCCUGUGGCCCAGCCUCCAGUCCAUUUCCUCACUGUGAUCUGGCUAAGUCACCUCCCCUCCACCUCAGUUCAGUCACCUACACAACAGGAAUGGUGGCUCCUGGCGUGAAAAGUUCUUAGGAGCAUUCAGCAUGAUGCUGUGUGGAGCACUUGGAAACUGCGUGUGCAUCACCUCAUAUUUCUGGCCACAGGUCAUUCAGACAUCUGCCCUUUGCCCUGGAGGAGAACCACUAGGGACUUGUGCCCAUAAGCACCAAUUCUGGCUUUUACCCUACCCAUCCUUUGCCAUCCCAAACUAUGCCAUCAACAAAUUCUAGAAAUCAAGUUAGAAAUGCUGUUCCCACGAGGGUCUCUGUGGUCUCUCAGAACAACAAUCAGCUGGCCCUGCUGGGCAGAUGUUGCCCAAUCCUAACCCACACUUAGCUAUCAACUUAAUCAUUCUCAACUAAAAACACCUACCUGAACACUUUUAGGGGUUAAGAAUAGUAUAAUCUCACUUAGCCAUUUGCAUUUUUUCUUCUUUUUACAAAAAGAAAUUUAUCUUUUUUUUUUUUUGAGACGGAGUCUUGCUCUGUUGCCCAGGUUGGAGUGCAGUGGCGCAAUCUUGGCUCACUGCAAGCUCCGCCUCCUGGGUUAGCGCCAUUCUCCUGCCUCAGCCUCCCGAGUAGCUGGGACUACAGGUGCCUGCCACCACGCCUGGCUAAUUUUUUUGUAUUUUUAGUAGAGACGGGGUUUCACCGUGUUAGUCAGGAUCGUCUUGAUCUCCUGACAUCGUGAUUCGCCCUCCUCAGCCUCCCAAAGUGCUGGGAUUACAGGCGUGAGCCACUGCGCUCUGCCAAGAAUAGUAUAAUCUCACUUAGCCAUUUGUAUUUUUUCUUCUUUUUACAAAAAGAAAUUUAUCUCAUUAUUAUGUUUAAUCAGUUUCUUGAGGUAUAACUUAAGUGUGCUAAAAUUUGCUCUUUUUAGUGUACAGGUCUAGGAUUUUUGAGAAACACAUAUUCAUAUGUGACCACCCCCAUGAUCAACAUAUGGAACAGUCAUUUGCCACCCAAAAUUACCUUGUGCCCUUUUGUUGUCAGACUCUUCUUUCUCCAGACCCUGGCAACCACUGAUGGAUUUUCUGUCCCUAUAGUUUUGCCUUUUCCAGAAUGUUCUGCAAAUGUAAUCAUUUAGUAUGUAGCCUUUUAAGUCUGAUUUCUUUCACUCUGCAUAAUGCAUUUGAGAUUCACCCACGUUGUUACCUGUUACAAUGGUUUGUUCCUUUUUAUUGCGGAGUAAUAUUCCCUUGCAUGGAUGUACCACAGUUUGGGUAACCAUUCAACAGUCAAAUGAGAUUGAAUUUGUUUCCAUUUUUUGGUGAUUAUAAAUACAGCUAUAAACAUUUGUGAAAGUGUUUUGUAUGUACAUACAUUUUUCUUAGACAUUUGGUUUUAAGAGAUGUAUUUAGGUUUAGUUCCAGAUGAACAAUGAGAGACUGAAAGACUUAAGGGACCCCUGAGAAGAGCAGAGGGAAUAUUCCCUGAGGCAGCCAUCAGUCAGACCUGGCCCUGUCAUUUAAAUGUGGGCUAGUGGUAGCAAGAUGCUGUUAUUAUUUUCACCAAGGACAUUUUUUGAGUAGCAAUUAAAAUGAAGUCUAUUUCUCUGAGCCCCUGGAGAAGAACAUAAGCACAUGAUGGUAACCAUCAAUUUAGUGGGCCUAACGUUAUCUAGGUGGUUAAUGUUUCCAUGGCUUCUGGCAAUUCCCAGUGUAAGUCACCUGUGUAUACUGGGUGGAUGCUUCUUUAAAUUAAAGAUAAGCUGUUCAGCUUAAUAACAGCUAAGGGAGAAUAUAGAGCCCGUGGGUGAACUGUUUACUAACAAGCUUCUUCAGGGUCAUUCAACUUGAAUGAACUCUCUUUUAGGCUAACUUGGUUUGUGGAGGGAAUGCAUGUUUCUUAGUUAAAAUAGUUACAUUGGAAUCCCAACUGUGCACAGGACUUCAAGGGUAAUUAUGAACCCCCACUGCAGAUUUCAGGCUUAGCACCAAUUCUCCUUGCUUUCUACUUGUAUCCAUCAAAAACAGAAGUUACGAUGGAGUUACAGCUAUACUUGUAAGGGUCUCAGUGAACCUCUCCCACUAUUCUGCCUUAUCACCUUUGGGUUCCUGUGUUCUCUACCCCCUCCCCACUGCAUGUUUUCAUUCAGCCAGGAAACAUUUACUGCCUGCCUGGUAUCAAGCCCUUGCAUGAGGGUGGGAGCUCAUAAAGAUGACUACACUAGAGAAUCAUUUGACCUUUCUCAUGUAGACCUCAACAUGAAUGAGUUUCAAUGCUGAUAGGGCAAUCAUUACCUUCAGACAAAUUUUCAGGAACAGCCAAGACUAGAGAAUGUAUGGCUAAAACACAGCACUAUGCAUUUAUAAUAGUCAUGGGUUCUCCUGUUUUAAUUGUACAUGGAGAAUAUUUCAGCUUUAUUUGUAUGGGCUGCUCUUAUGUAAAACAUUAUUUCAAUGAGGAAAUGUGUUUGGGGUUCUAAAUGACUAACUUACAAACACAACUUUGAAUAAAGUCCAUGAAUAAUUUGAGGAUUUAUGUCUAUCAAUGGCUGAUUUACCAGAUUGUUGGCUUUGGGUUUAUUGGUAUCCAUGUUGAGAGGCAUCAGAUCAUCCAAGGUUUAAGUUUCGUCCUGACCACUGACUAGCAUUGAGACCUUAAUGGGAUUAAUAACAAUGAUAAUGAUAGUGACAAGAGCUAGCUUUUCAUGAGCACAGUGGCUAAGAGAGUUAGCAUCAGUUCUAGCUGCUUUCAUUGACAUAGAUGUAAAUGGGGAGGGAAACCAUGACUAGACUCAAAUCUCUGCUCUAACGUCUGAUACCUGAAUAUCACUUUGCAAGCCACGUCAUCUCUCUAAGUUGUAGCUCUUUGUCUGAAAAAUGUGGAUAGUUAAUACAUUAUAAAUAAAUUAUUAUUACAUUAAUACACAGAAAUUCAUAAUGCUAUUGUGGGGAUUACAUGAGAUGAUGGAAGUAUUUAAUCUAGUGUCUUGUAUAUGGCAAAUAAAAAAUAAAUAUUCACUGCUGUUAAU